This 253-nucleotide ribosomal RNA is filed under the name uncultured bacterium. Its description in RNAcentral is "partial 16S ribosomal RNA". It matches the Rfam family "Bacterial small subunit ribosomal RNA", at positions 524 to 776 of the family's 1533-position model. The record is from RNAcentral.
GACGUAGGGCGCGAGCGUUGUCCGGAUUUAUUGGGCGUAAAGAGCUCGUAGGCGGCUCAUUGCGUCAACCGUGAAAACCCGCGGCUCAACUGCGGGCUUGCGGUUGAUACGGGUGGGCUGGAGUUCGGUAGGGGAGACUGGAAUUCCUGGUGUAGCGGUGAAAUGCGCAGAUAUCAGGAGGAACACCGGUGGCGAAGGCGGGUCUCUGGGCCGAUACUGACGCUGAGGAGCGAAAGCGUGGGGAGCGAACAGG